AUAGAGACUCAGAGCUGCAUAUCAAUAAGCGGAGGAAAAGAAACUAACUAGGAUUCCCUCAGUAACGGCGAGUGAAGCGGGAAGAGCUCAAAUUUGAAAUCUUCAAGGUUCUACCUUGACGAAUUGUAGUUUAAAGAAGUGUUUUCUGUUGGAGUUUUGGUAAAAGUUCUUUGGAAUAGGACAUCAUAGAGGGUGAGAAUCCCGUAUUUGACCAUUAUUUCCAACUUUGUGAUACACUUUCAAAGAGUCGGAUUGUUUGGGAAUGCAGUCCAAAAUGGGUGGUAAAUUUCAUCUAAAGCUAAAUAUUGGCGAGAGACCGAUAGCGAACAAGUACCGUGAGGGAAAGAUGAAAAGAACUUUGAAAAGAGAGUUAAACAGUACGUGAAAUUGUCAAAAGGGAAGCGUUUGACACCAGUGUUGUUUUCUCGAAAAUCAAUUAGAAAUGAUGGGAUUUUGUGUUGUAUUGACUUUAUCAGCUUUCUGCACUUUUUUCUGAUCUUUUUUAAUGCACUUUUCGUUUAACAAGUCAACAUCAAUUUCUUUUGUUGUAAAAGAGUCAUUGGAAGGUGGCUUUUCUUUCGGAGAAAGUGUUUAUAGCCUUUGCUCUCUGCAAUCGGAGAGACUGAGGUCCGCAGCGUAGACUCUUCGGGGUUAGAUACAUUUGUGCUAAGUUAUAGCUUUGUAUAGACAACUUGUUGACUAUGAUUAGUCAUUGUAGCUUACUCGCUCUCGCUAUUUUACCUACGCUUAGGAUGUUGAACUCUAUCACACACA
Molecule: ribosomal RNA, 774 nt
Filed under: uncultured Neocallimastigales
Lineage: Eukaryota; Fungi; Neocallimastigomycota; Neocallimastigomycetes; Neocallimastigales
Description: partial large subunit ribosomal RNA
Rfam family: Eukaryotic large subunit ribosomal RNA
Source: RNAcentral